AUUGGACUGCUUUAAGAAGUCCUAACAAGUCCUAACCAAGUCCUAACAAUUCCUAACAAUUCCUAACAAAGUCCUAACAGUUCCUAACAAGUCCUAACAAGUCCUAACAAGGUCCUAACAGUUCCUAACAAAUCCGAACAGAGUCCUAACAACAGCGUGGCAAAAGAGCCAAUCAUAUGCUUCAAAAAAAUUGCCGCUCCAAGGGGGGCAAAAGAGCCAAUUAUAUGCGUCGAAACAGGUGCCCCGUGCAAACAGUGUUCUGAUAGGUUACUGACGGAGACGAUGUUACAGUUCAUCCUCAGGUAACUGUAUUUACCGUCGGCGAAUAUCUCUAGACACUAAAAACAAAACACUGGUUACACCACUUGACCAUAACGUCUGCAGCAAUAGGACAAGAGAUCGAAACAGAAAAUAGCCAUCAAGAUGCCAAAGCAAGGAAAGCCAGAUUCAUUCUGGACCGGCGUCAUGAUGCUGUUUGCCCAGGGGAAAUAUAAAUUUUCCACUGGCCAGAGACCCGGGAGCAGACGUUGGAAGGCAGUGUUAGAGAGGAUAAAGAAUUGUCCGCUGACCCCUGCAUAUGGCCUAACGGUCAGAAAAAAAGAUAUUUUUGGGAAAAAUAUUCCCUGCAAAUGUGGCUACCAUGAUCUGUUCCCCAUGGCUGGUUCUUCGCUGUAUGUGCUUGAUUCUCCAAAUGACUUGUUUUGAUGCAGAGUUUUGUGUGAUUUAGAGAAUAAGAGGAUAUAGAGAGUAAAU
Misgurnus anguillicaudatus (oriental weatherfish) is the source of this 753-nucleotide non-coding RNA. Lineage: Eukaryota; Metazoa; Chordata; Actinopteri; Cypriniformes; Cobitidae. The record is from RefSeq and is a predicted model, not a curated record.